This 430-nucleotide unclassified non-coding RNA is filed under the name Hevea brasiliensis (rubber tree). Lineage: Eukaryota; Viridiplantae; Streptophyta; Magnoliopsida; Malpighiales; Euphorbiaceae. The record is from RNAcentral.
GAAAGGAUCAUUCUGAAUGCAAAGUUUUGUAGGUACACUAAGCAUCAGCAUGAAAACAAAUAAAAGGAAUAAGUACAUUGCAUGAGUUUCUUUAAAACUGAAAACUCAUUAAAGUAAAAGCCAAUUGCCAUCUCAUGAAGAAUUAAUGAGUUUGAGAAAACAAAAUAUCUAUCUGCUACAGCAGAAUACAAGAUCAUAAUGUAUGUUAACAUUAAAAACAAGAAUUAUUGUGCUAAUUAAAAACUACUGUUUAUUUUCUUCAUUUGACUUCAAUGCAAUUAUGACAACGACACAUGCUGAGAUGCAGUCUAUCAUUUCUACCCUAUUUAGCCAUCUGUAGUACCUGAAUCUUUAUUUAAUACCAACCAAUGCUUUUCUAAUGGAUAAGAUUGCAUGCAUACACAUGAGCAGGGAAAAAUUGAAGAGAAAA